CUCGUAGGCGGCCAACUAAGUCGGACGUGAAAUCCCUCGGCUUAACCGGGGAACUGCGUCCGAUACUGGAUGGCUUGAGUUCGGGAGAGGGAUGCGGAAUUCCAGGUGUAGCGGUGAAAUGCGUAGAUAUCUGGAGGAACACCGGUGGCGAAGGCGGCAUCCUGGACCGACACUGACGCUGAGGAGCGAAAGCCAGGGGAGCAAACGGGAUUAGAUACCCCGGUAGUCCUGGCCCUAAACGAUGAAUGCUUGGUGUGGCGGGUAUCGAUCCCUGCCGUGCCGAAGCUAACGCAUUAAGCAUUCCGCCUGGGGAGUACGGUCGCAAGGCUGAA
Molecule: ribosomal RNA, 332 nt
Filed under: uncultured bacterium
Lineage: Bacteria
Description: bacterial SSU rRNA
Rfam family: Bacterial small subunit ribosomal RNA
Source: RNAcentral